MicroRNA precursor from Laticauda laticaudata (blue-ringed sea krait), 84 nucleotides. NCBI's taxonomy places the organism in Eukaryota, Metazoa, Chordata, Lepidosauria, Squamata, Elapidae. The record is from Ensembl.
CGGUUUAUACAUUCGGUUCUCUAGCUUUAUGAUAUCAGAUACACUCAUACAGCUAGAUAACCAAAGAGAAAAACCGGCCCUGUG